This 238-nucleotide long non-coding RNA is filed under the name Amborella trichopoda. RNAcentral's name for it is "long non-coding RNA (ATRI_LNC002610)". The record is from RNAcentral. Lineage: Eukaryota; Viridiplantae; Streptophyta; Magnoliopsida; Amborellales; Amborellaceae.
GUGGAAUGAAAGGAUAUAGAAGUAAUAUAUCUUCAUAAAGAUAGCUGGCCACUAAAGGUAUCAACAUGAACACACAGGAAAGGUGUGUAAGGGGUAUGGGAUUGAGAUCCACAGGUUUCUUGUGAUAUGCAUGUGAUGAGGCUUAGUGGUGCAGCUAUUGACCACAUGGAAUGUUAUGCAAAGACCCCCUGUAUGGCAUAUUCUCUUUUGUGGCGAUGAGGCAUGUAUGACAUGUGUG